CCCUAGCCCUGAUAGCAGUGGAAAUCCUUGUGGACCGGGGUUCGGUACACAAGAUUGCAACGGAAAGCAGGAUUAAGC
RNAcentral lists this small RNA (78 nucleotides) under Flavobacterium sp. 1. Its description in RNAcentral is "Flavo-1 RNA". It matches the Rfam family "Flavo-1 RNA". Lineage: Bacteria; Pseudomonadati; Bacteroidota; Flavobacteriia; Flavobacteriales; Flavobacteriaceae. The record is from RNAcentral.